Non-coding RNA from Rattus norvegicus (Norway rat), 2518 nucleotides. NCBI's taxonomy places the organism in Eukaryota, Metazoa, Chordata, Mammalia, Rodentia, Muridae. The record is from RefSeq and is a predicted model, not a curated record.
AAUGAUGAUAUCACUGAGACCUGCCAUGGCCUACCUGCUGAACAGCUUUCCUUACAUUGACCAUAUUUGAGGGUGUCCUUUCCUGGAACCACUAGAAGCAGGGAAGUCCAGAUGCUUCUGACAGGCUCCGAGCUCCGAGCUCCUGAUCCCAUGUGUGGAAGGCUCAGAUCAAUUCUAUCUCUUCAAGACAGGAGGGUAGCAUUAUUGUCCUCUGCAAGACUCAACGGAGCAGCCGACUAACACACGUGCACAGACAUACGGCCAAAUAUUGAAUGGAGCUCAGUGAGUCUCAAUGAAGGGCUGAGGGAAGGGCAGACAGAGACAGAGGAGCACAAUGAUCUUCAGGUGGGGUCACUAAACCCGUCGCUUGUCUGUGGAUCCUGUUCUCCUACCCGGGCUGCGUUUUCAGGACCUGGUGGGAGACGAUGAAUCUAGUUGAGUAGAGACUUGAUGUGCCAGGGGAGAGGGUAAACCCAGAGGGGUCCUCCACUCUCUCAGAUAAGAAUGGGAGAGGAUUGAAUGAGGGAGUGUAAAUGGUAGGAGCCUGGAGGAGUGUGGUUCCAGGGCAGCAUUCAGAAUGCUACCUGGUGAAUAGAUGCAACCAUACAGCCCCUGUGGGUUGAUGUCAGAAUUUGGAGUCCACUUCUCACCUCAAUAGUGACUGUGAGGCGGGUUACCCAUGACAGAGGGGCAUGCUGGAGGUAUCUUCCACCAUUUUCUAUUUAUGGACACAAUCAUAGCACUGUAAAAUACCACCCAUGUCUCUGAAACUCUGUUGGUCAGAAACCCAGACACAGCUUAAUCUGGGUCCUUGCUAGGCUACAGUCAAGGUCUUGGCUGCCAAGUCUUUCCCUUCAAAUGUCCUGGUGGGGAAGGUCUGCCUGUAUAUUCCCUCGGGCCCUGGGGGAAAUUACUUCCUUGUAGUGGCAGAGCUAUCCCAUUGCCACAAGAGCCACCUAUUGAUCCCCUCAACAUGGAUACUGGAUUCUGCAAGCCCUCGGGAGAGCAAGGGUGGCAAGACAGACUUGUGUGACAUGAUAUAUCCAUAGUCAGGACCUCCCAUCACCUUCCCCAUAUGACAUGACAUGAAAUUAGCAUCCCAUUACCCUUGCUGUGUCAGAAGCAAGCCACUGACAUUGCCUACUUGUCUGGGGAAAGGAAUGCCGAACUGUUUGGAUACCAGAAGAUGGAAACCAUAGAGCCAUGUCAACUAGUACAAUGGUCUCAUUGGGAUCCCACCAACAGUGUAGAUACCUGGCCCCACCAGCUUCCAGGUAUGUGAGACAGCAUCUCUCCAGUUGCUUUUUGUAUGGGAACAUGUGCGUCUUUUUCCACUCAGGGCCCUGCACCAAUGACGCUCCUGCUCAGAAGAGAACUCGUACUUUUACCUCCUCGCCAUUUUUACUCCCUAAUUUCAAUCCGCAGUGCAGUUCUGGCAGUGAGAGUUGGAACUCAGCCUCCUUUCCUUCCCUAUCCUCCCCAGCAACCUGGAAACUUGGAGCAGAGCUCAGAGCAUCCGACCACUGCAUACAGCUCAUGAUGUGGCCCAACACCUCCUUGUGCUUCCUCUAGUACAAGUUUCACUUCAGUGCUUUUUCUAAUCAAAUAAUAGGUUGGUAUCACAGGAUAUAGGCUUGAUGGUGAACCCUCCCAGGACACCCAUGUGGCUGGGUAUAGCAGUGGCUACCCCCAGCCACCCUAGGGCACAUGAAGCACAGAGUAAGCAAGUCCCCUUAAUGAUUCUCAUGAUAUCCAGAGCUUUUUUUCAAAUUUUGGACCCAGUUUUGAAAUAUUGCUGAGGGCAGCUGAUAGGGCCAGGAAAGGUUAAUGGCUCUGCAGAAAGCAGAAUGUGUAAACGGGCUGGUAAUCGUCAUGGCAUUUCAUGUCAAACUCCCGGCUGGAGCUCAGAAUUAGGACCCUGGCUGAGUCAAGGGGAACUCAGCUCCCUGGCUGCCCUGCCCACAGGGGGCAGAUACAAAUAUGUGUUCUGGGUAGCAAGAGGGUGUGGGAAACAGUUGGAGGAUCCCAGAUAGAAAAACUGACACUCCAGUAAACGGACUGCCAAUGUAGCCUUUGCCAAGUAGCCUGGGAAGGAAUGACUGCCUUAUUCAGAGUCUAUGGCAUUGUCCCUGUGCCGUGAGCCUCAGGAAGAGAGGAAGCUAGGCUCAGACCUGACCCAGUCAAUGGUGGUCAUUCUUAGACAUCCUCCUUUCCACCUACAUAGAAACAGAGAAUUCUGAGCUCUGCUGCAUGUGGUAUAAAAUUGUCACUUCCUAUGAAGAACCUGUCUCUCCUGCGUGACCAACUAUAAGUGAUUAGCUAAAGAGAGACCCCAGGUCGCCCUUUGAGAUGGUUCAUUUUAUUCUUCGAUGUGAUACAACCUACAGCUACUUGGCUAGUUUUAGGUUCAUUUGACACAAACCAGAGUCAUUUGAGAAGAGGGAGUGUCAACUGAACAAAAUGUCCACACCAGAUUGGCCUGAGGAACAUUUUCUUAAUUACUGAUUGAUGUGGCGGG